GUUAAUUUCAUCUGAGAACGUGCCGCCCUCCUUUUUGCGAUGUGCAAAGAUCGUGCGCAAGUCGUGCGUUUUUUGGAGCGCCAGUCACGUACGAGUCGUUCAAGGAAUCGAAGGAAUGUACUACGGGCGCUCGUAGGACUCCGCAGCAUGUCCGCAGCUGAUGGCUGACGCCCGUGGCUACCGACACGAGACCGGCUACCGACUGCGUGACAGUAUGAAAGAAGCUACUGCCAUAGGGUGAGGAUCUUCGCGACACCUGUGAGGUCUGCUAGCAUUGCUUUACGCGCCUCAAGGAAAACCUGUCUACAUCUAUGAGAAUUGCGAUGAAGUAGUCGAGGCAUUUCUUCAGGAAGAAGCGAUUGAUAUCUUGAACAGGUGCGCCCACCUUUCCUCUGAUGCCUGUAGGUCCAUCUUGGCCCACGACUGUAAAUGGAAAACCAAAAGUGGCGGUGGUGGUGUUCUCUGUCAGAGAAACAGCAAAAGUACUAUCGCACAACGAAACAUUGCACAACUGAAGCAUCGCCUGUGCCUCAUGCUGCUGUUUCAUCAAAGAUCAAGGUCAUCGCCCUUGGAGGGACUUUAUGCAUGGCAGCAUGGUUCGAGUUCCACACGGAGAAUCCUGAAGCUAAUUCUUCCAAGGCAGAGCGGGGCAUGCUGAAAGUUAUCAGAAGGCCGAAAGAAUAAAUCGGUGGUUCAUCUGCAUGUACAACCAUCGUCAAGUGUUAUCAUGUACUGUUUUUUGCAGCUGCAUAAUAUUAAACAGUCCGAGUCUGCCCCAGCAGCCCAUAUG
Long non-coding RNA from Rhipicephalus sanguineus (brown dog tick), 790 nucleotides. RefSeq lists it as uncharacterized. The transcript has 4 exons. NCBI's taxonomy places the organism in Eukaryota, Metazoa, Arthropoda, Arachnida, Ixodida, Ixodidae. The record is from RefSeq and is a predicted model, not a curated record.